This 2278-nucleotide ribosomal RNA is filed under the name Salmonella enterica subsp. enterica serovar Typhimurium. RNAcentral's name for it is "partial 23S ribosomal RNA". It matches the Rfam family "Bacterial large subunit ribosomal RNA", at positions 1 to 2209 of the family's 2925-position model. Lineage: Bacteria; Pseudomonadati; Pseudomonadota; Gammaproteobacteria; Enterobacterales; Enterobacteriaceae. The record is from RNAcentral.
GGGUUGUGAGGUUAAGCGACUAAGCGUACACGGUGGAUGCCCUGGCAGUCAGAGGCGAUGAAGGACGUGCUAAUCUGCGAUAAGCGCCGGUAAGGUGAUAUGAACCGUUAUAACCGGCGAUUUCCGAAUGGGGAAACCCAGUGUGAUUCGUCACACUAUCAUUAACUGAAUCCAUAGGUUAAUGAGGCGAACCGGGGGAACUGAAACAUCUAAGUACCCCGAGGAAAAGAAAUCAACCGAGAUUCCCCCAGUAGCGGCGAGCGAACGGGGAGGAGCCCAGAGCCUGAAUCAGCAUGUGUGUUAGUGGAAGCGUCUGGAAAGGCGCGCGAUACAGGGUGACAGCCCCGUACACAAAAGCGCAUGUGCUGUGAGCUCGAUGAGUAGGGCGGGACACGUGGUAUCCUGUCUGAAUAUGGGGGGACCAUCCUCCAAGGCUAAAUACUCCUGACUGACCGAUAGUGAACCAGUACCGUGAGGGAAAGGCGAAAAGAACCCCGGCGAGGGGAGUGAAAAAGAACCUGAAACCGUGUACGUACAAGCAGUGGGAGCACCCUUCGGGGUGUGACUGCGUACCUUUUGUAUAAUGGGUCAGCGACUUAUAUUCUGUAGCAAGGUUAACCGUAUAGGGGAGCCGGAGGGAAACCGAGUCUUAACCGGGCGUUAAGUUGCAGGGUAUAGACCCGAAACCCGGUGAUCUAGCCAUGGGCAGGUUGAAGGUUGGGUAACACUAACUGGAGGACCGAACCGACUAAUGUUGAAAAAUUAGCGGAUGACCUGUGGCUGGGGGUGAAAGGCCAAUCAAACCGGGAGAUAGCUGGUUCUCCCCGAAAGCUAUUUAGGUAGCGCCUCGUGAAUUCAUCUCCGGGGGUAGAGCACUGUUUCGGCUAGGGGGCCAUCCCGGCUUACCAACCCGAUGCAAACUGCGAAUACCGGAGAAUGUUAUCACGGGAGACACACGGCGGGUGCUAACGUCCGUCGUGAAGAGGGAAACAACCCAGACCGCCAGCUAAGGUCCCAAAGUCAUGGUUAAGUGGGAAACGAUGUGGGAAGGCCCAGACAGCCAGGAUGUUGGCUUAGAAGCAGCCAUCAUUUAAAGAAAGCGUAAUAGCUCACUGGUCGAGUCGGCCUGCGCGGAAGAUGUAACGGGGCUAAACCAUGCACCGAAGCUGCGGCAGCGAACGUAUCACCCAAGACAACUUUACGGAGUUGACGAUUGACGGAGCGAAGCGACGUCAAAGCGUUCAUUAAAGUCGAGUUGGCUUAGGGAUACGUUCGUUGGGUAGGGGAGCGUUCUGUAAGCCUGUGAAGGUGUGUCGUGAGGCAUGCUGGAGGUAUCAGAAGUGCGAAUGCUGACAUAAGUAACGAUAAAGCGGGUGAAAAGCCCGCUCGCCGGAAGACCAAGGGUUCCUGUCCAACGUUAAUCGGGGCAGGGUGAGUCGACCCCUAAGGCGAGGCCGAAAGGCGUAGUCGAUGGGAAACGGGUUAAUAUUCCCGUACUUGGUGUUACUGCGAAGGGGGGACGGAGAAGGCUAUGUUGGCCGGGCGACGGUUGUCCCGGUUUAAGCGUGUAGGUGUGUGUUCCAGGUAAAUCCGGUUCACUUUAACACUGAGGCGUGACGACGAGGCACUACGGUGCUGAAGCAACAAAUGCCCUGCUUCCAGGAAAAGCCUCUAAGCAUCAGGUAACAUCAAAUCGUACCCCAAACCGACACAGGUGGUCAGGUAGAGAAUACCAAGGCGCUUGAGAGAACUCGGGUGAAGGAACUAGGCAAAAUGGUGCCGUAACUUCGGGAGAAGGCACGCUGACACGUAGGUGAAGUGAUUUACUCAUGGAGCUGAAGUCAGUCGAAGAUACCAGCUGGCUGCAACUGUUUAUUAAAAACACAGCACUGUGCAAACACGAAAGUGGACGUAUACGGUGUGACGCCUGCCCGGUGCCGGAAGGUUAAUUGAUGGGGUCAGCGCAAGCGAAGCUCCUGAUCGAAGCCCCGGUAAACGGCGGCCGUAACUAUAACGGUCCUAAGGUAGCGAAAUUCCUUGUCGGGUAAGUUCCGACCUGCACGAAUGGCGUAAUGAUGGCCAGGCUGUCUCCACCCGAGACUCAGUGAAAUUGAACUCGCUGUGAAGAUGCAGUGUACCCGCGGCAAGACGGAAAGACCCCGUGAACCUUUACUAUAGCUUGACACUGAACAUUGAGCCUUGAUGUGUAGGAUAGGUGGGAGGCUUUGAAGUGUGGACGCCAGUCUGCAUGGAGCCGACCUUGAAAUACCACCCUUUA